CCUACGGGUGGCAGCAGUGAGGAAUAUUGGUCAAUGGGCGCGAGCCUGAACCAGCCAAGUCGCGUGAGGGAAGACGGUCCUAUGGAUUGUAAACCUCUUUUGUCGGGGAGCAAAAGACGCCACGCGUGGCGUUCCGAGAGUACCCGAAGAAAAAGCAUCGGCUAACUCCGUGCCAGCAGCCGCGGUAAUACGUAGGGGGCAAGCGUGAUCCGGAUUUACUGGGUGGAAGGGGAGCGUAGACGGCGCGGCAAGUCUGAAGUGAAAGGCAGGGGCUUAACCCCUGAACUGAUUGGGAAACUGCCAUGCUAGAGUGCUUGAGAGGAAAGUGGAAUUCCGAGUGUACGGGUGAAAGGCGUA
RNAcentral lists this ribosomal RNA (357 nucleotides) under uncultured bacterium. RNAcentral's name for it is "partial 16S ribosomal RNA". It matches the Rfam family "Bacterial small subunit ribosomal RNA", at positions 338 to 692 of the family's 1533-position model. The record is from RNAcentral.